This 420-nucleotide ribosomal RNA is filed under the name uncultured bacterium. Its description in RNAcentral is "bacterial SSU rRNA". It matches the Rfam family "Bacterial small subunit ribosomal RNA", at positions 361 to 773 of the family's 1533-position model. The record is from RNAcentral.
AUCUUCCACAAUGGGCGAAAGCCUGAUGGAGCAAUGCCGCGUGAGUGAAGAAGGUCUUCGGAUCGUAAAGCUCUGUUAUCGGAAAAGAACACGGAGUACAGUAACUGGUAUUCCGCUGACGGUAUCCGACCAGAAAGUCACGGCUAACUACGUGCCAGCAGCCGCGGUAAUACGUAGGUGACAAGCGUUGUCCGGAUUUAUUGGGCGUAAAGCGAGCGCAGGCGGUCUUUUAAGUCUGAUGUGAAAGCCCACGGCUCAACCGUGGAUGGUCAUUGGAAACUGGAAGACUUGAAUGCAGAAGAGGAAAGUGGAAUUCCAUGUGUAGCGGUGAAAUGCGUAGAUAUAUGGAGGAACACCAGUGGCGAAGGCGACUUUCUGGUCUGUAAUUGACGCUGAGGCUCGAAAGCGUGGGGAGCGAAC